This 1436-nucleotide long non-coding RNA is filed under the name Sus scrofa (pig). RNAcentral describes it as "lncRNA (ENSSSCG00060043799.1)". The record is from RNAcentral. Lineage: Eukaryota; Metazoa; Chordata; Mammalia; Artiodactyla; Suidae.
GAAAGAGCCGGUAGGCAGCGCCCCGCGUGCAGGGCGCGCCGGGCCGCGCGGCCGCUCCUCCGCGAGGCUGCGCGGCUGGGCGGGUCGGGCCGGAGCAGCGCCCCGGCAUGUCGCAAGGGCUCCCGGCCGCCGGCAGCGUCCUGCAGAGGAGCGUUUCGGCUCCUGGGAACCAGGCACAGCCGCAGAGCCCCGAGGAUGAUGACAGGAAGGUCCGAAGGAGAGAAAAAAACCGAGUUGCUGCUCAGAGAAGUCGGAAGAAGCAAACCCAGAAGGCUGACAAACUCCACGAGGAAUAUGAAUGCCUGGAGCAAGAAAACGCAGUGCUGCGGAGGGAGAUCGGGAAGCUGACGGAGGAGCUGAAGCACCUGAGUGAGGCGCUGAAGGAGCACGAGAAGAUGUGCCCACUGCUGCUGUGCCCCAUGAACUUUGUGCCGGUGCCCCGGCCAGACCCCGUGCCUGGCUGCCUGCCCCGGUGAAGCCCAAGGACGGCCCUCCUUUGCCCAGCGAGGAGUGUUGGUCUUUUUCGCACCUGGGAGGAGGCUUCUGCCGGCAUCUGUGGACCGGGGGUCCUGUGGCCGGGUCACCUCCUCAGAGCUUCGGGCCGUGUCCCCAGCAGCCCAGGCUCAGCUUGAUGCUCCCACAGGUGCCUGGCUCGGAGCUUGAGCGGAUCCAGGCGGGGAGGCCAUCCUCAAGCAUCACUGUGCAUCCACUUUGGCAGCUAGGAGGUUCCGCUGUUGUGCAGAAUCAUGUCCUCCAGAGAAUGGAUAAUAAAGUGGGAAUCUUCUCUCCUUUCACCUUGUUCUUGGAACUGAGAGGCACAAUACCUUUCCUUUCCUGUUAGAGGUCAUUCUUCUCCUCAGGCUGCUUUGCAGCUCCUGGGUCUCGCUUGUCCUCCUGGUCCUCUCCCCCAAAGCCACGUCCAUGCUAGAGGGGGAGGCACCUUUGGGGUGGGACUCCCCAGCUGGGCCAUGCAGGGGUGUGCUGGGCGUGACUUGUGCUCUGCACAGCCCUCCCUCCCAGUCAACUCUCCCACCCAGGCCCGGCGGUCAUGGGAGGUUUUCUGUUCCAGGCUGGUUUUCCCGAGUGCUCUGUACACUCCCAGGUCACCUCCCGUUCCAGGGGAGGGGACACAUUUACUUAAUAGCAGUUGGAAUGGAGGCUAUCUGUCCCUCAUUUCAACACGUAUUUCAGGUAGGUGAGGAGAAGAGAGUCAUUCCCUUUCGAAGGUGCCAUCCAACAACUCUAUUCUUUCAGGAAAAACGGAACCAGGCCAAGUUGAAGGUGGCCCUAGCGAGAAAAGCAAGACGGGAGAGCAUGUCCCAUCCCUUCCCAGUUCUCCUUUUCUCUGGAACAAGAGGGCUGGGAAAAGUGGGGCCAGCCCACUACGAAGGGAAUAAGGAGUAGGGACAGAAAGGGAAGUGUAUUGUUGUAGAUAG